Molecule: ribosomal RNA, 1371 nt
Filed under: uncultured bacterium
Lineage: Bacteria
Description: bacterial SSU rRNA
Rfam family: Bacterial small subunit ribosomal RNA
Source: RNAcentral
GAUGAACGCUGGCGGCGUGCCUAAUACAUGCAAGCCGAGCGAACGGACGAGAAGCUUGCUUCUCUGAUGUUAGCGGCGGACGGGUGAGUAACACGUGGAUAACCUACCUAUAAGACUGGGAUAACUUCGGGAAACCGGAGCUAAUACCGGAUAAUAUUUUGAACCGCAUGGUUCAAAAGUGAAAGACGGUCUUGCUGUCACUUAUAGAUGGAUCCGCGCUGCAUUAGCUAGUUGGUAAGGUAACGGCUUACCAAGGCAACGAUGCAUAGCCGACCUGAGAGGGUGAUCGGCCACACUGGAACUGAGACACGGUCCAGACUCCUACGGGAGGCAGCAGUAGGGAAUCUUCCGCAAUGGGCGAAAGCCUGACGGAGCAACGCCGCGUGAGUGAUGAAGGUCUUCGGAUCGUAAAACUCUGUUAUUAGGGAAGAACAUAUGUGUAAGUAACUGUGCACAUCUUGACGGUACCUAAUCAGAAAGCCACGGCUAACUACGUGCCAGCAGCCGCGGUAAUACGUAGGUGGCAAGCGUUAUCCGGAAUUAUUGGGCGUAAAGCGCGCGUAGCGGUUUUUUAAGUCUGAUGUGAAAGCCCACGGCUCAAUCGUGGAGGGUCAUUGGAAACUGGAAAACUUGAGUGCAGAAGAGGAAAGUGGAAUUCCAUGUGUAGCGGUGAAAUGCGCAGAGAUAUGGAGGAACACCAGUGGCGAAGGCGACUUUCUGGUCUGUAACUGACGCUGAUGUGCGAAAGCGUGGGGAUCAAACAGGAUUAGAUACCCUGGUAGUCCACGCCGUAAACGAUGAGUGCUAAGUGUUAGGGGGUUUCCGCCCCUUAGUGCUGCAGCUAACGCAUUAAGCACUCCGCCUGGGGAGUACGACCGCAAGGUUGAAACUCAAAGGAAUUGACGGGGACCCGCACAAGCGGUGGAGCAUGUGGUUUAAUUCGAAGCAACGCGAAGAACCUUACCAAAUCUUGACAUCCUUUGACAACUCUAGAGAUAGAGCCUUCUCCUUCGGGGGACAAAGUGACAGGUGGUGCAUGGUUGUCGUCAGCUCGUGUCGUGAGAUGUUGGGUUAAGUCCCGCAACGAGCGCAACCCUUAAGCUUAGUUGCCAUCAUUAAGUUGGGCACUCUAAGUUGACUGCCGGUGACAAACCGGAGGAAGGUGGGGAUGACGUCAAAUCAUCAUGCCCCUUAUGAUUUGGGCUACACACGUGCUACAAUGGACAAUACAAAGGGCAGCGAAGCCGCGAGGUCAAGCAAAUCCCAUAAAGUUGUUCUCAGUUCGGAUUGUAGUCUGCAACUCGACUACAUGAAGCUGGAAUCGCUAGUAAUCGUAGAUCAGCAUGCUACGGUGAAUACGUUCCCGGGUCU